Nicotiana tabacum (common tobacco) is the source of this 2334-nucleotide non-coding RNA. NCBI's taxonomy places the organism in Eukaryota, Viridiplantae, Streptophyta, Magnoliopsida, Solanales, Solanaceae. The record is from RefSeq and is a predicted model, not a curated record.
AGAUAUCUACUGGUUCUAGUGCGUCAUCCACGGCACGUACGGUAACAAAAGUUCCUCUCAAUCUUUAUUUCUCGGCAAAACAACAAGAAAAGGGAAAAAGUGAAGAAGGUUUAGGUUUAGAAGCCAAGAAGAUUUUGAGGGAUCGCGCCGUAAGUGCCUUUGCAGCAUGGAUUUACGAUGCAGGGCUUCCUUUCAACUGUGUCAGCUACAAAACUUUUGAUAAAUUCAUUGAGGCCGUAGGACAAUAUGGCCCAGGAAUGAAGCCUACUAGCUAUCAUGAAGUUAGAGUAACUCAUCUUAAAAAAGAGGUGAAGAAGAUAGACCAAAUUAUUGAGGAGCAUAAAGUGGAAUGGAAUAAGUUUGGAUGUUCCACUAUGAUGGAUAAAUGGACAGCACGGAAUGGAAAAAUGAUCAUAAAUGUGUUGGUGAACUCUCCAAGAGGGAGUGUUUUUCUUGAAUCUCACGAUGAUAGCAACUCUUAUACGGAUGGAAGCAAAAUGUACAGCUUGUUUAGAAAGACUAUUGAUAAAAUUGGAAAGGAAAAUGUUGUACAAGUUGUUACAGAUAAUGCUAGUGAGAAUGUUAGCGCGGGGAAGAUGAUGGAAGCUAUGUAUCCAAACAUUUAUUGGACUCCAUGUGCUACCCAUUGUAUCAACUUGAUGUUUGGUGACAUAUUCAAGGAAAACCCAUAUGCUUCCGAUAACUUUAAUACAGUUAUCUUUAAAGCCUUUAACUUUAUUUAUACUUAUGUCCUAUCCUAUUAAGUAUUAACUAUAAAAUUGUAAUUGUUACUUUUACGGUUUUCACUAAGGCCGUCAAGAUAUAUUCUUACAUCAGUUAGAGGCCGUUGUUGUUGAAUUUGAUGAGAAAAUUCACAAAUGAAAGAAAUUUGGUGAGACCGGCCAAGACUAGAUUUCCAACGGCUUUCUUAACUUUGCAUAGUUUUUACUUGCAAAAGAAAAAUUUGAGAAAGCUAGUUCUUUCGAAUGAAUGGAAAGAUAAUAAAUAUGCAAAGGAAGCUGCGGGGAAAGAAACUGCCAAAGUUCUUAUUUCUCCAUCAUUCUGGAAUGACGUCGUUCGGGCUCUUAAAGUUGGUGGUCCUUUGAUUAGGGUGCUUCGUAUGGUGAAUGGGGAGGGAAAACCACCAAUGGGCUAUCUUUAUGAAGCUAUGGAUAGAGCCAAAGAGAGUAUUGCAGCGUCAUUCGAGGGAGAUGUUAGGAAAUAUGAGAAAGUUUUUGAGAUAAUUGAUACCAGGUGGGACAAUCAACUCCAUCGACCUUUGCAUGCAGCAGGCCAUCUUCUAAACCCGGGAUUAUUUUACAAGAACAUUAGAGAUGAAACUUUGGCUUCAGAUGUGUGGAUUGGAUACCAUGCAUGUCUUGAGAAGUUGGUCCCUAAUUCAACGACGAUAGAUCAAAUAGGGGAGGAGUUUGGUAGGUACUCACAACCAGAGGGCCUAUUUGGUUUAUCGGCUGCCAUUAGAGCCAGAGACAUAAGGUCACCAGGUAAUUAACUUUAAUAUAGAUAUCCUUAUAACUUUAAUUUAGUUUAUUUGAUUUACACUUAUUAACUUCUAAAAUAUUUUUCUAUAGUUGAAUGGUGGAAGCAAUUUGGACAUCAAACUCCAAACUUGCAAAAGUUUGCCAUCAAAGUACUAAGCCUAACUUGUAGUGCAUCUGGAUGCGAGAGAAAUUGGAGCGUAUUUGAGCAUAUUCACUCCAAGAAAAGGAAUAGGCUUGAGCUAUCGCGUCUCAAUGAUCUAGUGUAUAUUAAAUACAAUAGAACAUUGAGGUGACGUUAUGAAGCUCGCAAUACCAUUGAUCCAAUUUUGUUGGACAACAUGGACGAUGCAAAUGAAUGGUUAACUGAAGCACCCCAAAAUCAUGAAGAUGAACAAGUGUAUGAAGGAGAUGAUCUUGAUUGGGGUACUGUUUCUAUGGCGGUUGGAGUUGAGAAAUAUCUAUGGACUUAGAGGGAGUUCUUCAAGUUACAAGGGAAAGGGAGUAGCAAGUUCAAGCGGGUCCCUAAUUGAUGAAGAGUACGAGGAUGGACUUAGAGGGAGUUCUUCAAGUUACAAGGGAAAGGGAGUAGCAAGUUCAAGCGGGUCCCUAAUUGAUGAAGAGUCCGAGGAUGAAGAAGAUGAUAGCCAAUAUAAUGCUAACAUUCAUGAAGUUGUAGAAUUUGAAAAUCUUGAAGAAGAAUAGAUGUUGCUUGUUUUAGAGUUUAGACUAUUAGACUUUAAUUUAUGAAUCUACUAUGAGUCUAUGACUAUCUAUUGAGUCUUUAAUUUUUGAAUGAUAUAUUUAUUAAUAUAUUAUUGUUAUUGAGUUUUUA